ACAUACAUAUUCACAGAAAGUACAUAAACCAGGAUGAAGAGAAACUCGAAAACUCAAGCAAGAGUCUGCUUCCCUUUAAUUGUUUUUGCCUCUGACUUGUAUUGCCUUUUAUUGCCUCUACUUAUGGCAGUAGAAGCUGCGAGCAUGGUAAGGAAAAAAGAGACAGCUAAAACUGACUUGGCACUGAAUCCUGUCACACAGCAUUGCAGUCACAGAGAGAGAGAGAGAGAGAGAGAGAGAGAGAGAGGCAGAGACACAGGCAGAGGGAGAAGCAGGCUCCAUGCACCGGGAGCCCGACGUGGGAUUCGAUGCCGGGUCUCCAGGAUCGCGCCCUGGGCCAAAGGCAGGCGCCAAACUGCUGCACCACCCAGGGAUCCCUUUGCAGUUUCUUCUAAGAAACAAAAAGAUAUAACAACAUGACUCAGUAAUUCAGAGGAUAUGACUAAACAACAUCAUAUUCCAGGCUUUCUCUUCCCUUUGGUGGCUCACUUCUGGAUCUGCAAUACUUACUCGUAAGAAAAAGGAAAUGAUGAUUAAGGACAUUAAAUGAAAAAGGUGUCUUCCAACUACCCUACCUGGAGAUCAAAAUAAUCUACCAUGCCUGGAAAACAGCAAGAGAGCCUCAUGGUCAUGAUGGAUACAACAAAGUCCUGUCUUGAGAAACAAUCACAAAUUUGUUUUCUUAUCAUCUAUUUCUGAACAACUGCAAACUGAAUUUCAAAAACUUGACUGCAUGUCAGUUAUUCUUUCUAUUGAAAACUACUUGUUUUGCACCAUUUUGAUACAUGGACCAAAAUAAAGAUAGAGAGGUUAUCUUCUCUAUGGUAACUACACAACAAAGAACGUUUUCUUCGUACAAGAAGAGUUUCACAUAGCUACAUUUUUCACCAUUUAAGACCCAAGUUCUUUCAUUUUUCCAAGUAAUCCAAAUAAUAACUAACGCUUAUUAUGCUCCAGAUAUUACUUCUCGUGCCUUCCACAAGCUAUCUCAUUUAAUUCUUGCAAUUAUUCUAUGGGUUAAGACUAAUAUUAAUUCUAUUAUAUAGAUGAGGAAACUGAGCCUCAUGGAAGUUAUAUAAUUUGCUCAUGGGGAGAUGCUCAACAUGUGCUAGAGCUGGGAUUUGAACCCAGACAGUCUGGAGCAUCAUGAGAGUUUACAUUUUAAUAAUCACAAUAAUUUAUAACAUGUCCAAGGUCAAACUCAGUAUUUCACUCCUCUUUUAAACUUUUCCUCAUUCUUGGGGGUGGGGGGUAGAAAGAAACUUUUCCUCAUUCUUUAUCUUGUAUUUGAGUAUCUCACAACCAUCCCCUCCAAUUGCAUAUAAGCAAUCAUCGAAUCUUACAGACUUUUUAACUCUUUAUCUCUUUCAUGAGGUCUAUAUUCAUAUACACAUCUGCCUACUAAAAUUUUCCAUUUGGAGAUCCCACAUGUACCUUAAAUUCACCAUAAUUUCUCAUCAGUCUCUUAAUCAUGUAUUUCCUAUUAUGGUGAAUAACACCAUUAUCCUCUCAUUUAAGGGAAAAAAAAGUAAUUUCUGCUCCUUUGGCCAUCUACCCAUCAAACACAUGUGUCAUAUGUGCACAUGUGUGCAGACACAUACUACCCAACCAAUCAAAUCACUGUUACCUGUUAAUUAUCACCUAAACUAUCACAAGUGUCUCUUUACUGAUUUUCCUGUCUGCCUCUAAUUUCAUCCCAUGGUCCACAUCACUUCAACCUAACAUCUGUACUGCUAAUGUGUAACUUCAUUUAUGGCAUGAACAUCUGCUUAUCUUUCUCCUGCUUGCAUUUUCAAAAUGGAGUAUAUAAAAUAAAUUCUGAACACUUCUGCAAAAAAUACAAGA
Long non-coding RNA from Canis lupus familiaris (dog), 1845 nucleotides. RefSeq lists it as uncharacterized. Lineage: Eukaryota; Metazoa; Chordata; Mammalia; Carnivora; Canidae. The transcript has 2 exons. The record is from RefSeq and is a predicted model, not a curated record.